UACGAAGGGGGCUAGCGUUGUUCGGAAUCACUGGGCGUAAAGGGCGCGUAGGCGGCCGAUCAAGUCGGGGGUGAAAGCCUGUGGCUUAACCACAGAAUGGCCUUCGAUACUGUUUGGCUUGAGACCGGAAGAGGGUAGUGGAACUGCGAGUGUAGAGGUGAAAUUCGUAGAUAUUCGCAAGAACACCAGUGGCGAAGGCGGCUGACUGGUCAGGUUCUGACGCUGAGGCGCGAAAGCGUGGGGAGCAAACAGG
Molecule: ribosomal RNA, 253 nt
Filed under: uncultured bacterium
Lineage: Bacteria
Description: partial 16S ribosomal RNA
Rfam family: Bacterial small subunit ribosomal RNA
Source: RNAcentral